CGCCGCGGUUAUACGAGAGGCCCAAGUCGACACAUCCCGGCGUAAAGGGUGGUUAAGAAAAGAAAAAAUAUUAGAGAAAAACGCUCUUCAGGCUGUUAUACGCAACAAGAGUAAGAAUCCUCCACGCGAAAGUAACUCUAUACCAAUCUGAACCCACGAAAACUUUGGUA
Molecule: ribosomal RNA, 170 nt
Filed under: Synodus macrops (triplecross lizardfish)
Lineage: Eukaryota; Metazoa; Chordata; Actinopteri; Aulopiformes; Synodontidae
Description: partial 12S rRNA
Source: RNAcentral